GAUAAUUGAUCAUCGAAACAAAUCAUAACUACUACACAGUUCAAUGUUGAAAUUGUCUUCCACCUCACGGUGAUUGAAAAAUCAAAAGCAAACGUAGAUCCCCAUUCGUUUAGCUGGCGGCGUGAGAUUAUAUCAUAAACACACUGGACACGUGCAAACGGCUUCAAUUUUUCGCAAAACACGUGACAACAAGUAGGGAUGGUCACGUGUCAGCUGGCCUCCAAACUCAAUCCGGUUGAAAGGGAUAUUAACAUCCGGUAGUAUUCCGGAGCAUAAAUAAGUGCAGCGCAAGUUAUGCACACAGUCGUCCAAACAGGACCAUAUCGAAGCGGCAAUGAAAAUUAGAUUACAGCUGAACAAGUGCGUUAUGCUGGCUGAGCAGCAAGGGGAAUCUGAUGCAUUUGGUGAGCCACUCUGUGAGAAAAUAACCUGUUAGGGGUUCUGCUAUGUUUUUUAGCCACGCGACGAUAAGUGACCAAGCGAGGAUACAACGAAGUCCUAAUUUCAACGCCAUGCGAAAAGAAAAUCAACGCUUUCCCUCAAACACACUCAUGCCGAACGUGACGCGCUCCCAAAAAAUGGCACCACGUUCUGGUGCGAGCUGUAGCGGCGGAAGAAAAUCAGUAUCCAUAGAAAUCACGUUCACUUAUGUACAAACGGCUCCGAACCAAGGGGAACAGAUUUCCCCAAUGAAAGCAUGAAUCUCUAGCGUUGCUCUUUCAGCGUCUCUAUGUGUGGUUUUGUGUGAGCUUUACGAAAUUCGUAGUAUAUAGCGGAAAUGAAGAGCAAACAGCAUUCAUUUUUUUUCCAAUAUUCUAUGAACACAUUCACCUCACCAACUUAGGUGCAAACUCAUAUGAAGAGAUUUUACCCGG
This is a long non-coding RNA of Anopheles merus, 875 nucleotides long. RefSeq lists it as uncharacterized. Lineage: Eukaryota; Metazoa; Arthropoda; Insecta; Diptera; Culicidae. The transcript is spliced from 3 exons. The record is from RefSeq and is a predicted model, not a curated record.